This 492-nucleotide ribosomal RNA is filed under the name uncultured bacterium. Its description in RNAcentral is "partial 16S ribosomal RNA". It matches the Rfam family "Bacterial small subunit ribosomal RNA", at positions 29 to 507 of the family's 1533-position model. The record is from RNAcentral.
AGUGAACGCUGGCGGUAGGCCUAACACAUGCAAGUCGAACGGCAGCACAGUAAGAGCUUGCUCUUACGGGUGGCGAGUGGCGGACGGGUGAGGAAUACAUCGGAAUCUACUUUUUCGUGGGGGAUAACGUAGGGAAACUUACGCUAAUACCGCAUACGACCUACGGGUGAAAGCAGGGGAUCUUCGGACCUUGCGCGAUUGAAUGAGCCGAUGUCGGAUUAGCUAGUUGGCGGGGUAAUGGCCCACCAAGGCGACGAUCCGUAGCUGGUCUGAGAGGAUGAUCAACCACACUGGAACUGAGACACGGUCCAGACUCCUACGGGAGGCAGCAGCGGGGAAUAUUGGACAAUGGGCGCAAGCCUGAUCCAGCCAUACCGCGUGGGUGAAGAAGGCCUUCGGGUUGUAAAGCCCUUUUGUUGGGAAAGAAAAGCAGCAGGUUAAUACCCCGCUGUUCUGACGGUACCCAAAGAAUAAGCACCGGCUAACUUCGUG